Peromyscus eremicus (cactus mouse) is the source of this 732-nucleotide long non-coding RNA. RefSeq lists it as uncharacterized. The record is from RefSeq and is a predicted model, not a curated record. Lineage: Eukaryota; Metazoa; Chordata; Mammalia; Rodentia; Cricetidae. The transcript has 3 exons.
UACAAGAGAACUCAGGGCUGGUAUCUUAGAGGCACAUCCCUAAUGCUUAACUACAUUGUUCAAAACAUUUAAAUGCUAAGAAAUUGAUGGAUGAAUCAAUGAAUUAAUACUAAUAGCUUAGUAAAACUCUAUGAGAUCCAGUGUUGCAUGGUGUUCCCCUUCCCCAAGAUAUAAUCUCAUGCAUCUUGGGGUUUGCCUUGUUAGCCAUGGCGAUGAGGGUAUACUAACAAAUGGCAGCUAUGUUGAUGAUAAUAAUAAGGGACUUACGAUAACUCCCUAGGGAAGAUGGUCUUGAGACCCUUUACUAGUAUUCUAAUUAUUGCUGCCUACCCAGCUAUAAAGGAUCUUGGAGAAUUAUACAAUAUAUUUAAAAAGAACAUGAAAGAAUAAAAGAAGAAAAGAAAGAAGGAAGGAAGGAAAGAAGGAAGAAAGAAAGAAAGAAAGAAAGAAAGAAAGAAAGAAAGAAAGAAAGAAAGAAAGAAAGAGAGGGAAAAUAAAAAAAGACUGAUCAAUUGAAAAUGAGACUCCAUGAUGUAGCUUCCAUGAGGCUGUCACCCAUAAUGUGAUGGUUUCCAAUGAUUAAGCUGUUUGGUGGUCACUCACACUCCAAAGCCAUGGCCACCAGCCCAGGGAUAGCAGCACUCAUGAUGAUGGUCUGGACCCUCAUCGAUCACUAGUUAGCAAAGAUUGAAGACGUGAUCUCCCAGCUUCCUGCUCUUAAAGCCAGCUGCC